GUAUAGCGAUAUAUGGGUGGCGACCGGCAAACGGGUGCGGAACACGUUACACCACCUUCCGGUGAGUGGGGGAUAGCCCAGAGAAAUUUGGAUUAAUACCCCCUACUAUAAUGAUCAGGCAUCUGGUUAUUAUCAAAGGCUUCGGCCGCUUAUUGAUGGGUGUGCGUCUGAUUAGGAAGUUGGCGGGGUAGAGGCCCACCAAGCCUACCAUCAGUAGCUGAUGUGAGAGCAUGAUCAGCCACACGGGCACUGAGACACGGGCCCGACUCCUACGGGAGGCAGCAUUAAGGAAUAUUGGACAAUGGACGCAAGUCUGAUCCAGCCAUGCCGCGUGAAGGAUGACUGCCCUCUGGGUUGUAAACUUCUUUUAUAGGGGAAGAAAGUUAUCUUUUUUAAGAUAUUUGACGGUACCCUAUGAAUAAGCACCGGCUAACUCCGUGCCAGCAGCCGCGGUAAUACGGAGGGUGCAAGCGUUAUCCGGAUUCACUGGGUUUAAAGGGUGCGUAGGCGGGUAUGUAAGUCAGUGGUGAAAUACCGGAGCUUAACUUCAGAACUGCCAUUGAUACUAUAUAUCUUGAAUAUUGUGGAGGUAAGCGGAAUAUGUCAUGUAGCGCUGAAAUGCUUAGAGAUGACAUAUAACACCGAUUGCGAACGCAGCUUGCUACGCAAAUAUUGACGCUGAGGCACGAUAGCGUGGGGAUCAAACAGGAUUACAUACCCUGGUAGUCCACGCCCUAAACGAUGAUUACUCGACAUUAGCGAUACACAGUUAGUGUCUGACCGAAAGCAUUAAGUAAUCCACCUGGGAAGUACG
This 814-nucleotide ribosomal RNA is filed under the name uncultured Bacteroidota bacterium. RNAcentral describes it as "bacterial SSU rRNA". It matches the Rfam family "Bacterial small subunit ribosomal RNA", at positions 74 to 884 of the family's 1533-position model. Lineage: Bacteria; Pseudomonadati; Bacteroidota. The record is from RNAcentral.